RNAcentral lists this small nucleolar RNA (213 nucleotides) under Clytia hemisphaerica. RNAcentral describes it as "small nucleolar RNA U3". It matches the Rfam family "Small nucleolar RNA U3". From Rfam's summary of the family: Small nucleolar RNAs (snoRNAs) are involved in the processing and modification of rRNA in the nucleolus. There are two main classes of snoRNAs: the box C/D class, and the box H/ACA class. U3 snoRNA is a member of the box C/D class. The record is from Rfam by way of RNAcentral. Lineage: Eukaryota; Metazoa; Cnidaria; Hydrozoa; Leptothecata; Clytiidae.
AAGACCGUACUUUUUAGGAUCAUUUCUAUAGUACGCGUACUUCCUUUGCUUCACAGCAAAGCGAAACACAACAGCUAUGAUGAUGAGCUGCAGUGUUUCUCUCUGAGCGGGAAGUUCGGGACCUGAUACCGUUGCGGUGAGGGAACCAUUGAUGACCGUUCCUCCAGAGGACUUUUGUUUUCUGGUGGAGGAGAGAAACGCCAGCUGAGUAGC